This is a long non-coding RNA of Pipra filicauda (Wire-tailed manakin), 273 nucleotides long. RefSeq lists it as uncharacterized. The record is from RefSeq and is a predicted model, not a curated record. NCBI's taxonomy places the organism in Eukaryota, Metazoa, Chordata, Aves, Passeriformes, Pipridae. The transcript is spliced from 2 exons.
GGUGAGAGAGUCUCUUUCUGAGACAGUAGAGGCCAGUGAAACCAGACAUGAUCCCUAGACCUCACAGUUUAAAGAAAGAAAACCUCAAAUCCCUUUCAGCAUCUAAACCAAGGAAUUUCAAAGAAAUGUUCAAGCACAUGCACAAAGAGGAGGCAAUUGUCUAGAGAGCCCUCAAGAGACUGGAUUAGGUUUCGGCUGAUCUUGUACAGAUGCCCACAAAACAAUAGGAAUGUUUUGUUGAAUAAAAGUGCUACAUAGCGAACAAAUCCCAAA